This 463-nucleotide ribosomal RNA is filed under the name uncultured bacterium. RNAcentral's name for it is "partial 16S ribosomal RNA". It matches the Rfam family "Bacterial small subunit ribosomal RNA", at positions 28 to 507 of the family's 1533-position model. The record is from RNAcentral.
GACGAACGCUGGCGGCGUGCUUAACACAUGCAAGUCGAACGGAAAGGCCUUUUCGGAGGUACUCGAGUGGCGAACGGGUGAGUAACACGUGGGUGAUCUGCCCUGCACUCUGGGAUAAGCCUGGGAAACUGGGUCUAAUACCGGAUAGGACCGCACUUUAGUGUGUGUGGUGGAAAGUUUUUUCGGUGUAGGAUGAGCCCGCGGCCUAUCAGCUUGUUGGUGGGGUAAUGGCCUACCAAGGCGGCGACGGGUAGCCGGACUGAGAGGUUGGUCGGCCACAUUGGGCCUGCGAUACGGACCAGACUCCUACGGGAGGCAGCAGUGGGGAAUAUUGCACAAUGGGCGCAAGCCUGAUGCAGCGACGCCGCGUGGGGGAUGACGGCCUUCGGGUUGUAAACUCCUUUCGCCAGGGACGACGCGUUUUGUGACGGUACCUGGAGAAGAAGCACCGGCUAACUACGUG